CCUACGGGAGGCAGCAGUAGGGAAUUUUCGGCAAUGGGGGAAACCCUGACCGAGCAACGCCGCGUGAGUGAAGAAGGCCUUCGGGUUGUAAAGCUCUGUUGUAAGGGAAGAAGAGAUCAUAGAGGGAAUGCUAUGAUUGUGACGGUACCUUACCAGAAAGCCACGGCUAACUACGUGCCAGCAGCCGCGGUAAU
RNAcentral lists this ribosomal RNA (194 nucleotides) under uncultured bacterium. Its description in RNAcentral is "partial 16S ribosomal RNA". It matches the Rfam family "Bacterial small subunit ribosomal RNA", at positions 338 to 524 of the family's 1533-position model. The record is from RNAcentral.